CUGACUCCCUCCCCUCUCUCUCACCCUCGUUUUCUCUCUCUCUCCAAGCUCUCUCCGCUACACCACCAAUACUUUUUUCCCUGGCUGUGGUGUGUUUGUGCUUUAGCGAGUGUAUGGCGAAACCGGUUCUGUGCUGAUCCAGCUUGUGUGAUCACAUGCACAGAGCCAGGAGCAGCGUACCUCUUGCCAACAUCCUGCCUCCACUCUGCUGCCUUUUCUGCUUUGAUUUCACACUGUCUGCUUUUCCACCAGACCUUUUCUUUCUUUAACCCUCUGCUCUCUUCCAAGAAUGAUCUAGGAAGAGGGGAAAGAAAUAACAGAAAGGUGUCUGCGUGAAGGGAGAUGAGGAGGCAGAAAAGGAGAGAGAGAGGGGAGAGGACUAGAGAAGACUGGAGUUAGGCUGCAACACGAGAGGCAAAGCAACGAGGAGAGGGAGAAAGAAGAGAGCAACAUGGAUCGAGGGAUGAUCGAUGUGGAAUCGGGCCGAAAACGCAGGAAAAGGAGGGAAAAAUUGCCAGACUCAUCCGACCUCUGCUGUGUGGGGACCGGACCCAUCACCUGACUGCCCUCUCCUGUCUUCCUGGUCCUCAGCAGAACAGCCAUGAGGUCGAGCCGGACAUUUUGGAAAAUUGUAUCCAGCGACAUCUUGCUAAGAUGGAUCCGAAG
Oncorhynchus masou masou (cherry salmon) is the source of this 666-nucleotide long non-coding RNA. RefSeq lists it as uncharacterized. The transcript has 3 exons. The record is from RefSeq and is a predicted model, not a curated record. Lineage: Eukaryota; Metazoa; Chordata; Actinopteri; Salmoniformes; Salmonidae.